UACUCCUACGGGAGGCAGCAGUGGGGAAUCUUGGACAAUGGGGGCAACCCUGAUCCAGCCAUGCCGCGUGAGUGAUGAAGGCCUUAGGGUCGUAAAGCUCUUUCGCCUGUGAAGAUAAUGACGUAGCAGUAGAGCCCGCU
This 140-nucleotide ribosomal RNA is filed under the name uncultured bacterium. Its description in RNAcentral is "partial 16S ribosomal RNA". It matches the Rfam family "Bacterial small subunit ribosomal RNA", at positions 334 to 471 of the family's 1533-position model. The record is from RNAcentral.